RNAcentral lists this ribosomal RNA (594 nucleotides) under uncultured Bacteroidota bacterium. RNAcentral describes it as "bacterial SSU rRNA". It matches the Rfam family "Bacterial small subunit ribosomal RNA", at positions 122 to 715 of the family's 1533-position model. Lineage: Bacteria; Pseudomonadati; Bacteroidota. The record is from RNAcentral.
CAACCUGCCGAUAACUCCGGGAUAGCCUUUCGAAAGAAAGAUUAAUACCGGAUAGCAUACGAAUAUCGCAUGAUAUUUUUAUUAAAGAAUUUCGGUUAUCGAUGGGGAUGCGUUCCAUUAGUUUGUUGGCGGGGUAACGGCCCACCAAGACAACGAUGGAUAGGGGUUCUGAGAGGAAGGUCCCCCACAUUGGAACUGAGACACGGUCCAAACUCCUACGGGAGGCAGCAGUGAGGAAUAUUGGUCAAUGGACGCGAGUCUGAACCAGCCAAGUAGCGUGAAGGAUGACUGCCCUAUGGGUUGUAAACUUCUUUUAUAUGGGAAUAAAGUUGUCCACGUGUGGAUUUUUGUAUGCACCAUAUGAAUAAGGAUCGGCUAACUCCGUGCCAGCAGCCGCGGUAAUACGGAGGAUCUGAGCGUUAUCCGGAUUUAUUGGGUUUAAAGGGAGCGUAGGCGGAUUGUUAAGUCAGUUGUGAAAGUUUGCGGCUCAACCGUAAAAUUGCAGUUGAUACUGGCAGUCUUGAGUGCAGUAGAGGUGGGCGGAAUUCGUGGUGUAGCGGUGAAAUGCUUAGAUAUCACGAAGAACUCCGAUUG